AGUCGAGCGGAGUGAUGGUGCUUGCACUAUCACUUAGCGGCGGACGGGUGAGUAAUGCUUAGGAAUCUGCCUAUUAGUGGGGGACAACAUUUCGAAAGGAAUGCUAAUACCGCAUACGUCCUACGGGAGAAAGCAGGGGAUCUUCGGACCUUGCGCUAAUAGAUGAGCCUAAGUCGGAUUAGCUAGUUGGUGGGGUAAAGGCCUACCAAGGCGACGAUCUGUAGCGGGUCUGAGAGGAUGAUCCGCCACACUGGGACUGAGACACGGCCCAGACUCCUACGGGAGGCAGCAGUGGGGAAUAUUGGACAAUGGGCGCAAGCCUGAUCCAGCCAUGCCGCGUGUGUGAAGAAGGCCUUAUGGUUGUAAAGCACUUUAAGCGAGGAGGAGGCUACUGAAGUUAAUACCUUCAGAUAGUGGACGUUACUCGCAGAAUAAGCACCGGCUAACUCUGUGCCAGCAGCCGCGGUAAUACAGAGGGUGCAAGCGUUAAUCGGAUUUACUGGGCGUAAAGCGCGCGUAGGCGGCUAAUUAAGUCAAAUGUGAAAUCCCCGAGCUUAACUUGGGAAUUGCAUUCGAUACUGGUUAGCUAGAGUGUGGGAGAGGAUGGUAGAAUUCCAGGUGUAGCGGUGAAAUGCGUAGAGAUCUGGAGGAAUACCGAUGGCGAAGGCAGCCAUCUGGCCUAACACUGACGCUGAGGUGCGAAAGCAUGGGGAGCAAACAGGAUUAGAUACCCUGGUAGUCCAUGCCGUAAACGAUGUCUACUAGCCGUUGGGGCCUUUGAGGCUUUAGUGGCGCAGCUAACGCGAUAAGUAGACCGCCUGGGGAGUACGGUCGCAAGACUAAAACUCAAAUGAAUUGACGGGGGCCCGCACAAGCGGUGGAGCAUGUGGUUUAAUUCGAUGCAACGCGAAGAACCUUACCUGGCCUUGACAUAGUAAGAACUUUCCAGAGAUGGAUUGGUGCCUUCGGGAACUUACAUACAGGUGCUGCAUGGCUGUCGUCAGCUCGUGUCGUGAGAUGUUGGGUUAAGUCCCGCAACGAGCGCAACCCUUUUCCUUAUUUGCCAGCGAGUAAUGUCGGGAACUUUAAGGAUACUGCCAGUGACAAACUGGAGGAAGGCGGGGACGACGUCAAGUCAUCAUGGCCCUUACGGCCAGGGCUACACACGUGCUACAAUGGUCGGUACAAAGGGUUGCUACCUAGCGAUAGGAUGCUAAUCUCAAAAAGCCGAUCG
This 1234-nucleotide ribosomal RNA is filed under the name Acinetobacter calcoaceticus. Its description in RNAcentral is "bacterial SSU rRNA". It matches the Rfam family "Bacterial small subunit ribosomal RNA", at positions 60 to 1288 of the family's 1533-position model. The record is from RNAcentral. Lineage: Bacteria; Pseudomonadati; Pseudomonadota; Gammaproteobacteria; Moraxellales; Moraxellaceae.